UACGAAGGGGGCUAGCGUUGCUCGGAAUCACUGGGCGUAAAGCGCACGUAGGCGGCUUUUUAAGUCAGGGGUGAAAUCCUGGAGCUCAACUCCAGAACUGCCUUUGAUACUGGGAAGCUCGAGUCCGGGAGAGGUGAGUGGAACUCCGAGUGUAGAGGUGAAAUUCGUAGAUAUUCGGAAGAACACCAGUGGCGAAGGCGGCUCACUGGCCCGGUACUGACGCUGAGGUGCGAAAGCGUGGGGAGCGAACAGG
Molecule: ribosomal RNA, 253 nt
Filed under: uncultured bacterium
Lineage: Bacteria
Description: partial 16S ribosomal RNA
Rfam family: Bacterial small subunit ribosomal RNA
Source: RNAcentral